This 1328-nucleotide ribosomal RNA is filed under the name Salmonella enterica subsp. enterica serovar Agona. Its description in RNAcentral is "partial 23S ribosomal RNA". It matches the Rfam family "Bacterial large subunit ribosomal RNA", at positions 642 to 1953 of the family's 2925-position model. The record is from RNAcentral. Lineage: Bacteria; Pseudomonadati; Pseudomonadota; Gammaproteobacteria; Enterobacterales; Enterobacteriaceae.
AAGGUUAACCGAAUAGGGGAGCCGGAGGGAAACCGAGUCUUAAUUGGGCGUUAAGUUGCAGGGUAUAGACCCGAAACCCGGUGAUCUAGCCAUGGGCAGGUUGAAGGUUGGGUAACACUAACUGGAGGACCGAACCGACUAAUGUUGAAAAAUUAGCGGAUGACCUGUGGCUGGGGGUGAAAGGCCAAUCAAACCGGGAGAUAGCUGGUUCUCCCCGAAAGCUAUUUAGGUAGCGCCUCGUGAAUUCAUCUCCGGGGGUAGAGCACUGUUUCGGCUAGGGGGCCAUCCCGGCUUACCAACCCGAUGCAAACUGCGAAUACCGGAGAAUGUUAUCACGGGAGACACACGGCGGGUGCUAACGUCCGUCGUGAAGAGGGAAACAACCCAGACCGCCAGCUAAGGUCCCAAAGUCAUGGUUAAGUGGGAAACGAUGUGGGAAGGCCCAGACAGCCAGGAUGUUGGCUUAGAAGCAGCCAUCAUUUAAAGAAAGCGUAAUAGCUCACUGGUCGAGUCGGCCUGCGCGGAAGAUGUAACGGGGCUAAACCAUGCACCGAAGCUGCGGCAGCGACACUCAGGUGUUGUUGGGUAGGGGAGCGUUCUGUAAGCCUGCGAAGGUGGCCUGUGAGGGUUGCUGGAGGUAUCAGAAGUGCGAAUGCUGACAUAAGUAACGAUAAAGCGGGUGAAAAGCCCGCUCGCCGGAAGACCAAGGGUUCCUGUCCAACGUUAAUCGGGGCAGGGUGAGUCGACCCCUAAGGCGAGGCCGAAAGGCGUAGUCGAUGGGAAACGGGUUAAUAUUCCCGUACUUGGUGUUACUGCGAAGGGGGGACGGAGAAGGCUAUGUUGGCCGGGCGACGGUUGUCCCGGUUUAAGCGUGUAGGUGUGUGUUCCAGGUAAAUCCGGUUCACUUUAACACUGAGGCGUGACGACGAGGCACUACGGUGCUGAAGCAACAAAUGCCCUGCUUCCAGGAAAAGCCUCUAAGCAUCAGGUAACAUCAAAUCGUACCCCAAACCGACACAGGUGGUCAGGUAGAGAAUACCAAGGCGCUUGAGAGAACUCGGGUGAAGGAACUAGGCAAAAUGGUGCCGUAACUUCGGGAGAAGGCACGCUGACACGUAGGUGAAGUGAUUUACUCAUGGAGCUGAAGUCAGUCGAAGAUACCAGCUGGCUGCAACUGUUUAUUAAAAACACAGCACUGUGCAAACACGAAAGUGGACGUAUACGGUGUGACGCCUGCCCGGUGCCGGAAGGUUAAUUGAUGGGGUCAGCGCAAGCGAAGCUCCUGAUCGAAGCCCCGGUAAACGGCGGCCGUAACUAUAACGGUCCUA